CGUGUGUGCUAUUGAAAAUAAAACAAACAAGAAUGACUUGUGUGCUAUUUAGCCAACAAUAGUCCCUGCAUUCUUAGUAUGUAUUUUUGAUGGCGGAUAAAGAUAGUAUGUAUUAUCAUGGUUGAGAGAAAAGAGGUCUCAGUAUGCAUCAUCGACGAUGGGGGAAAGUUAUUAUAAGUAUUGACAGUCGAGCCUCGGGAAAGGGGGUUGUAGAUAUGCAUGAUCAAGGUCAAACAAAACAGUUCUAAUACGUAUUUAUAAUAAUAUCAGGGGAAUGGAGCCAAAGUCUGCAUUGUAAAGGCUGAAGGAAAAUAAUAUUAAUGUGUUUGCUUUUAAAACAUGUUCUCAUCGCAAUUAACAGGGUGAUUCAAAUUACAUCCAUGGGAUGUACUCGCCUACGUCAUAAUUCACCUGUGUAAGAUACAGUAGCUUUAGC
This 436-nucleotide long non-coding RNA is filed under the name Mytilus galloprovincialis (Mediterranean mussel). Lineage: Eukaryota; Metazoa; Mollusca; Bivalvia; Mytilida; Mytilidae. The record is from RNAcentral.